RNAcentral lists this long non-coding RNA (10637 nucleotides) under Triticum aestivum (bread wheat). RNAcentral's name for it is "long non-coding RNA (TAES_LNC028142)". The stretch from base 9731 to 9817 matches the Rfam family "MIR1120/MIR1122 microRNA precursor family". The record is from RNAcentral. Lineage: Eukaryota; Viridiplantae; Streptophyta; Magnoliopsida; Poales; Poaceae.
UUUUUUUUUCUUUCCUUUUUUCUCUCUUUUUUUUCUUUAUCUUCUUUUUCUCCCUCUUUCCAAGACAAACUAGAUAAGAUGCAGAUUCGAUCAGGCGAAGAUGUGAGUGACCUCAACUAUAAUUAUGACAAUAAACAGUGCGUAGCACGUGGUGGAAAUUGGUGGAUUGGAUGGUGGACAGCGGAUGGGAUAAUGAUGCAGCGGCUGCGUGACUAAUAUGAACAGAACUCGAAACUCUAAAGGAACUAGACACUAAGACCAGCAACUCGACACGGCGAUGCAACCAAUAAUUCAAUAAUGCAAACAAUGAAUAGAAAAUUGCAAAGGCUCAGACUGGCUUGGAUAAAGGAUGAACAGAUCUAACUUUUUUUUGUGGCUUUUUCUUGGACAAUAGGUAAGAAAAUAAAUCUAAUCUAAGAAAAACUGGAAAUUCUCACCGAGCAACCUGAAAACUGAUACCACUUGAUACCACUUGAUAGAGGCAAAGGUGUCCCGUCUUUCGAUGAGAUGGUGGAUUUCGCUUUGGUGGAAGUCGACUUUGACGAUCCGACUAUGAACGUGCGAGGACGUCGCGCCUUAGCAAUCGCUAAACCAACUCCGAGAGGUUAUUGACCACGCCGGAGCACGAUCAACCUGACCACGAGGGUCUGUUUCCUGCGAGCAAACGAAGAACAAGCAAGAAACUAAGAUUGCAAUCUGGAUAUUGCGAAUAUAAGAUGAAAGCUUUAUUGAUCAAGGUGGGGUUCUGUGACGCCUUUGUCUGGUCGUUGAACACAAACGAAGUACGCGAAGUUGCAGCUAUGGCGAACUUUUAAUCUAAACAAAACCCAAGGAAAAGCUACUAGAUGGAUCUACUUAUAUAGGAGCAAGGGGUGGCGGCCAAGGAGGUGGGAGGACGUCCCAAGGCAGCCUAAAACUAAAUCUAGGUCGUACAAGGCCAAUGGGCCCAAGUGGAGGUGAUGUAACACCUUUGGACUUGUAGUUUGACUCGGAUUCUGCUGCAGCAUCAGAUUGUUUCGUCCACAACUCAACGCUCCGGACGAAUUUGAUGGUGAUUCCAAUUGGGUUGGAAAGUGCACGAAAUCUAGUUUCCAACAAAAAAAGAAUCACCCAAUUCGGAGUCCGUAUGAAAAACUUGUGUGCGUUUUGAGUCAGGUGUGUCUGUGCAGUCCGAAUCUGAAUCCAGAACGUGAGAGACUUGGACUCUAUCUUCUCUUGGGCCAAAAGUGACGUGAGAGAACUUUUUGGACAGCAAAUAAACAUCUCGUUCUUCCUUAUCUUCAUAUGUGGAUUGUACAAAUGUCCCAUACACCUGCAAAUAGACAAAACACAAAAGUGUGUGAAGUAUUUUUGUUCUGGAUAACAUAAAUAGAUUAUUGAAUAGUUUGCACUAGAAAUCACCUGACAAAUAUGCAUAUAUGCAAUAUUUUUGGUCAUAUCCAAGGUAGUCAUGUCCUCAUCACCUCACAAUGGACAAACUGUUGCCUUCUGGUCUAACCAUUGGGAUGGCACCCCCAAUGCCUAGCUAUGGCCCCAUUUGCACUCUUUCUCUAAAGAACAGUCUAUCACUUUACAUGCCUUACAUUCUUUAGAUGAUCUAGCUACCCACUUUCAGUUUCUACUAUCUGAAGAAACAUAUCUGCAGUUCCAGGGACAUAACUCAUGGCAUCUUCCUGCAGGUGCGUACAACUACAAGGUCUCAAAGGCAUAUAGGUUAAUGACUGUCCAUCCUCUUGUCUUGCCAGUAAUCAAAUGGCUUUGGAAAUCCUAUUGUCAGCUCGAAUAUGAUUUUUUUUCUGGUUGAUGGUUAACAACAGACAGAACACAAGAGCACCGGCAAGAUUUCAUGUUUGAGCUGACAAUAGGAUUUCCAAAGCCAUUUUAUUACUGGCAAGACUAGAGGAUGGACAGUCAUUAACCUAUGCUAGAUCAUGAUUGGCGCGCGUUGCUGCGCCCAUAUAUUUUUACUGUAAAAUAAUAGGCACAUUUGCAAAUAUAUUAAGGCAUAUGACCUGAAGGUUGUGUUUGCAUAAAGAGCCAUAUAGUGGUGAAUUUUGGCUUAUAGCCUGAAUGUGAGAGUAUUAUGAUUAAUCGCCUCAUAAUUUUGAAAGAAUUCAUGAACAUUGUGGUUGCUAUAUACAUCUAUUUGAGCGACAACUAAUUUUGGACGGAGGGAAUAUAUGAAACCAAACCAUACAUUGUUUAGAGAAUAUAACAUUAUUUUGGGUUGAAGAGAGUGAGAAACAAACAUCCGCAACUGCCAUAGUGACGGAACAAUCCUAAUGACUCGUACCAUGCACAUAUAUACAGUAUAGUAGAUUCCAUAAAUAGUAUAAAUCCAGAUAGAAGCAAUUCAUUUAUAUUGUCAUUUGAAAGGUAGAUCGAUCAAAGAAAGGUGAAAGAGAAUGUAUCAGAAAAGUUGCACCACGAUGAUAUGUUGGGCUUAGAGUUACAAAUUGGAAGAGCAGAUCCAUGGCUAGAGAGCAGGGCAUGCAAAUUGUUAGGCUAGAACUUUCCCGAACAAAUACACCUUAAGCCAAAAACCAUAGUCCAAGAAUUUCUCCAACAAAUUGAUCACAAUCCAACACUUUAAUUUAUAUAGGACCUGCAAAUACGUGAGACAAAGGAAACAUCAUUAGUUAGGAGUCUGAACAAAAUAGAAUUAGGUUGGAUAAAGGUCGUACAGGGAAGAAAAAUGAGCAAAUUAGCCCAGAAGCAUAGUCGCGAAGGCUAACAAAACCACGGAACAAAUGUGUCAUUCAACAAUAUCCGGGUGUUAAGUGUAAUGUGAUAAAUUAUAUAACCAAUAAACAACUAUUUAUAUACCCAAAUUAUUGUUUGAAUACAUAGAUACCCAGUCCUGAUGAAAGAUUAUGCCCUUUAAAUCCUAAUGGUUUAUGGGCAAAAGAAAUUAAAUAAGGCUUGACGAUUAUCAUCAUUUGGCUAUGGCACUUUAUUUCCAGAUGAUCUCGAAUAGCAGAUUCAUAGAUAAGGCAUACAUAUUCUGUCCAUUCCAACUCAACUUAGACUAAUGAAUUUUAUUUUUUGUGGCUCGAACAAUUUUAAAGUGUUGAUAGUAAUAGUGUAGGGAAGAACAAAGCCAAGAGGAGUUAUCUAGUCUUACAAAGUAUCCGAGCCUUACCAAAGAAGCCAAUCUUCACCUAAUUAGCUUAAAAAGUGUAUCUGCAUUGUCACCCUGCUGCAGUAAUUAUCUUCAGCAAUUCAUCAAACAAAAAUAGGAGAGCUAAUCCAGAGGCAUGAAUAGCUAACAGUGAAAAAAUAAUUAACAUUUCUAAUAACUGAACAAACUAAGCAUUUCCCCACUGCAAAAGAGGGGUAGCAUUGAAGAAAUCUAUUUUCCAAGGAAAACAAUAGAUUAUAUACUAAUAUGCUGAGAACACUACGGAUCUACAUGUGGCUUGGGUUUAAUAGCUUAUCAAUUCCACAAAGCAUGUUAAUCAGCUUGCAAGAAUUUUGACACGUAGGAUUUUUUGUACGGAAAAUAUGAAUACAUCAUACUUAGUGCUCUACCAAGGGAGGAAGAUGUAGACAAAGAAAAGAACACACAAUAAAUGGAACCGAACAAAAUUGUAAUGGGUAUUUCAAAUAUAACCUGGGGAUCAAAGCAUAGCAUGCAUUGGAUUUUAAUCGAGAGACGGUCUCAUUCUCUAAGCAUGCACACUUUCGGAACUAUAUAAAGCACUUUCGGAAAAGUGAAUAUGAAACGAUAAAUAAUUAAAUUUCGAUCUCUAUGGACCAAGAAAACGCUAUCCAACUAUUAUUUGCCUAAAAGUAGAGCAAUUGUAAACUCCUAAACUGAAACUACAUUAAUCAAGGGAUAACAACAUUUACAUGUCCAAACAAAGUGUGUCAUUGAUGGGCUAUAGGUUGUGCAUAACUGUAUAUAAUUUAAGAAAAUUUACUCAUCAAUAUGAGUAUUCACUCUGUUAACUUGAAUGACCUUAUUGCUGGUGACACAAUAUACAAUGGGUUAGAAUUCAGAAAUCAAGUGCUUACCUCAGAUAGAUUUUCUCAUGCCAUAUAUCAUGCUUUGACAGCUUUCUCUCAAGCAUGAGCUUCUUUUCCACCACUACUUGAUAUGAUAGGAAGCAUUUUUUUAGAUAAAAUUCCCUACAUUAAAUAUAUCAACAAACGUGAUCAGUCAAAUAAAAAUCAAUAGUCAGCAUAAUAUUUGAGUUGACAGCACGCUGACAAUACCAAGCUAGGAGCUACAUCAAAAUUUAAUUGUCGCACAAGAUAUAUUUUGGGGCGUUGGUGCCUAGCAUACGUGUUGCAUGCAUUGGAAUUUUUCACUUGUCAGCCAAAGUGACGCAUAACAGACCUUGGGGGCAUUGCUAUUGUGGUGGCAUAAAGUCAGAUUAGCCAAGUACCAACUGAAGACUCCCAUUGUUGGUCAAUGUGUUUGCAAAAAAAAACCUUGCAAACUGCAUUGACUCUCUGCAAAAAGAUAGAGAAACUCAUCUCGGUUCUUCACAGGCGAAAAGAUAGACACAUGUAGUCUACAAACAAAAUAACUGAUUGCUGGAUAGCAAGGAUAUUCCUAAAUUCAUGUGUAAUCCUGUUCUCAGGCCAUCAGCGCCACGACCAUCAGAUCUACAGUUUUGGACGUCUUCAGCCGUCUGAUGAAACUCUAGUAUAAAAUAAGUUAUGUGCCAGCAUCAUGGCCGGCAACAUGAUUUGAUGUCAAAGAAGAGCCUGUCUGGAGUGCUUUGCUGCAACAAUCUUCUUCAAACAAGCAUGCGAACAUACUCACAAAAUAAACAGAUCGGAGGGCAUGAGCCACGACGUCUUUGUAAUCUGAUUGUUUUAGGGCUCCUCAAGUGCUAAUCAGAUCUUCAAAUUAACUACUCACAGAAUAAACAGAACUCAGUUUCAAAUCAUUCGAACAGAGCAUGAGGGAACGAGGUGUGGGGAAGUUGUAGCGGAAUACGUCUGGGUACCUACUGGAACAAAAUCACUAAGUGCUGUCGAGCGGGAUCCUUAUAGGAUAUAAUAGGGAGGAUCUCGAUUACUAGCAAUAAUUCCUCUCAGAGGCAGGAUUCAGUGGCGAUUACAGAGGGAAUUACAAGAAUGGAGUAGCUAGGGUUCGUCGCGAGGGAGGAAGGGGAAGGGGAUAAGAGCUGUGCCGCCGUUGCCGUGAUCCACUGGAUACCGGCCCUGUACGUUGUUCCUGAUACUUGUAGUCACAGACUCGCAGUAGGGCUGCGGUUGUAGCUCCUGCAGUAGUGAGGUAGGUGGGCCUAGCCCAUAGCUAUCGGCCCAUGAGGAGGGAUGCUGACAUCCCCUCCCCCUUAACAACCGGCUUGCCCUCAAGCCGGUUCCCGCUCUUCGCCGGUCCACAGGGGAGUUGCAUUGUACAUAGCAGCAAGAGCAUAUGCAGGGUGCGGUCAACAAGCCAAGGAAUAGAACAUGGUACGCGCAAGCUCUGGACUGCAAGCUCAAUCCUCCUGGAUCCCAAGACAUCCUUGAUUGGUAGAAGCGGUUGUUGUGGCCGGCAGAAGCCACACCAAAGGAGUCAAGGACGUAGCCAUUGCUAGCACAGUCGUGGUCGAAGCCGAGGAUGUAGUCAUAUGCGGGGUGCAUUUUCUUCGCUGAUUCAUAGGAGUGGUUCCUUGCCAACACCAUCCUGAGCAUAUGCAGAGUGCGAUCAGAGAGCCAGGGAAUAGAACAUGGUACUUGCAGGCCUUCAACAUUGGCAAAGUUCAUUCGUCCUAGAUUCCAUUGCUCACAAGAAGAAAAUGCUGGCAGAAUUAACUUCACUGCACACUGUUCAUCGCUUUGCACUCCCUCAUAUUUGAACCUCUCAUACCUGCAGCAAGGGAACCUGCAAUAAGGGUCCUGGAAUAGAUGCAAGUCCUCAACUGAGAGCAGCCCACAACUGAAUUGUCGCAUCGUGAUAAAAGUUUGAGGAUCAUUUUCAGAACUAGAGUUCAUUGCAUGGAAGCCACCACAGGUAGCCGAACUUCUAGAAUUCCAUGGCAUCCCUUCUUGCAUUAAUCCAUUGAUGCUAUAUCCCAACCAAUCAAGAGCAACAAUGAGAUAUGCAUCUAGGCGUGUACCACAACGAGAGUACCACCUAUAUUUUGACGAGGUAAUGAUAUGACCGGCAAAGACCCAAAACUGAGUCAGCUCCAAAAGAACCCAAGUGAGGUGCAGAUAUUCUGAAGUAGUUCUUCCGUUGCUUUUGAAAUCUGUAGGAACAUUUUGUGGGACGAGAUGCGACCAUGGGGGCUUGGGUUGCAACAAGGGCAUAUGCUUCCCUGGUUGUGUGAUAAGCAGUUCCAACGCAAUCAGAAUCAACCUAGUUCCUGCCAGUGGGAUGCCCAAACAUAUGCAACAACUGCAAUUGAAAUUGUUGCUCUCCCCUGCAUUAUACGACAUUCUGCACCUGUGAACUCUGUCAAGAAGCUGCCCAAUGGAAUGCAUCAAUAAUUCAACAACAACCAUGUACUUGUCGCCAGUGAAACAUUCACAAGGCUUGGAACUUGUACCUAAACCCAACCAGGUAAGUGAUAGACUAUCCAAGAGAGAACCCAUGUUGUUGCCAUCGACGACAAGAACCAUGACACCAACAAUAGAAUUAUCUGAAUAAUGAAGCACUGUUGCAAAAUGUACAGCCUGAAUCACAAACAGUUCGAGAGUGUCCAAAGACCAGCCAUGAUUAACUUCACAUGAUAUUGGUUCACAAGGGGGACGAGGCAACAUAAAAAUAUGUUGUGAAUUUUUGUCCUGCGAUUGAUGCUUGCCCCACUGCCAUUGCAUUGUGAUACCAGCUGGAGCAGAAGACAGAAAUGGCCAAAAUUGCAUGAACUAAAGGUAGACACUACUCAGAAGUGAUGUACUCAGAGCACCCAAUUGCUGCUUGCUGAGAAGGAUCUUGUCAUGAUUACUGAAAUCUGAAUCAUUUUUGCCUCGUUUCAGAAACCACAAGCAUGAGAGCUGCACUGGAAGUAUACUUAUGCAAUUUUCCACGAGAUUGGAACAUCUUUCCCAUGCACUGUUAGUGUGAAAGUUGAUUGAAGUACGGCCACUGUCUUUAAAUUCUUCUUGGCUCAAAAAAUUCCAGUGCACUAACAUAGGCAUAAUAUGAAUUAUUCCUUGCAAUUGAUCAGAAAUAGGAAUGCAAGCAAGAAUAACAUAGCCCCAAUCCACUACGCGAUGCUCAUAAACAACCAUAAACUGAUGCUCAAUAUACUUGGUUGAAACAUGACCACUCCCUGUUAAUUCUUCUUGGUUCAAAAAUUUCCAGUGCACUGAGAUAGGUAUAAUAUGAAGUAUGCCCUGCACUGCUCGAGGCUUGUCAGGUGGCAAGGGAAACUGCAUAUUAUGCAUAAGGCAGGGCCUAGCAGCAGAUGUUUUCCUCCCAGAACCGAAUGCCCAUGCAACUUCCCAUUGGAAUUGUUCAAGAGAGUUAGGAAAAGUAGACUGAAUGUUGAAUUCCAUUCUCUUUGUUCCAGCAUGUGCACUAGUCCCAUCAAAACAAUCCCUUGGCUCAUUGGAAACCACGAAGGUAAGCUGCUCAAUAGGCCAGGACUGAUGCUCCACUGAUACUCCCAUGAAAAUAUGCAAUUGAGUGUCAUAUAUAAAUUGCUGCAAUGUGCUCCUCGUCUUUGCCUGAUGGUCUGGUGGCUAGCAAACAUAACCAGAAGCACUAGUGAUGCAUCCGCCAGCAAUGCCAAGGCACAAAACAACAUUAUCUUCCACAACAAUCAGCUCACAACAAAAAAUUGAACAUGGCCCCUCCUGAUAACUUGCAUCUGAAUGAAACUUGAAAGACGGCCAUGGCCUAGGCCUGAAUAGGUGUCCGCCAUGUCUGGUUCUCACUCUCACAGGUGACAACCAUGGUUGCUGCCCGGUUCCCUGCUGUAUCGAUGGCAGGCACGAGGUUUUGAUCUUGUCCACAAGAUGAACAUGCUUCACCUUGGCCAUCCUGAACUAGACCGUAUGUCAAACACAUGACCAGCAUUGGCGGAGCAGGGUCGCUGGGGAUGAAUAUGAUGAGGGCGAGGUCGUGGUCCGCCUUGCUCAUCACUUGAGUGGAGCUGUCGACAGAGAGGGCAUUGAGCUCCUGCACGCCGGCCUUGGAGUCGACGUCGGUGGUGGUCGUCACGGGAGAAACGACCUCGGCACAAGAGGGGGUGUUGGUGCUGAUGGAGGCCGUUGCCUGCACCGGCACGAGCUGCUCGACUGCUUUGUGGAUGGGGUCGACCGUGGGCUCGAGGUGGACGGUGGCGGCGGCUUCAUGGACCUCGUCGACGUUGUCGAUGGUGUCAACCUGGGUCGAGCACUCCGUCGAACAGGUGACGGGCACCAUCGCGAUGCACAUCGGGGCUGCCUCAUUGGCGGCCGUGGGGAUCUCCUAAGCCUUGGUGGUGGAGCCGGAGACGUCGAGGACGGGCGCCAACGCGUCAGUUGUGCUUUCCGGCGAAGUGGUCGCUGAUGCUUGAUUAUGGACGACGGCAGGCGAACUGGUGGCCCAAUUGACGUCAAGGGCGUUCAGUUUAUCGGCGAGGGACCUAGUGGCGCUGGUGUAGUCGUCGAGCCUAGUGUUGAGCCGCUCGAGGUACUCACGGAUCGAUGGAUCCAUGGCCUUCUCUCGAGUGGUGGUGGUGCAAAAAAAAUAUGAACGAAUUUGUGGGAAGGAAGUGCGGUGCCUGGCUCUGAAUAUCAGAUGAUAGGAUAUAAUAGGGAGGAUCUCGAUUACUAGCAAUAAUUCCUCUCAGAGGCAGGAUUCAGUGGUGAUUACAGAGGGAAUUACAAGAAUGGAGUAGCUAGGGUUCGUCGCGAGGGAGGAAGGGGAAGGGGAUAAGAGCCGUGUCGCCGUUGCCGUGAUCCACUGGAUACCGGACCUGUACGUUGUUCCUGAUACUUGUAGUCGCAGACUCGCAGUAGGGCUGCGGUUGUAGCUCCUGCAGUAGUGAGGUAGGUGGGCCUAGCCCAUAGCUAUCGGCCCAUGAGGAGGGAUGCUGACAGAUCCAUAGCCCUGGACAAUCACUGGAUCAGGAGUGGGGGGGAAGCAAGACGAUGGGGUGGGUCAGAAGGAGGUGGGAGGGAGGGUGACCUUGCAUGUGCCGCGUUGUGGUCGGGCGGUGGCGACGAUUCCUGGGUACUACAUCGUUGCAGCCGCCGCGUCGCUUGCAAAUCAAUGGACAGCCGGGAGAGGAAUGGAUGUACCCGUAGCAGCCAAGGAUCUUCAUCUUCAGAGGGCUGGUAGGGAGCUCGACCGCCACAGAUACCUAGCAAAGGAGGCGAGGUGGCGCGGGGAGGGCGUCGAUUGAAGGGAGGAAAGGGGUGGCCUUUUUUGAGACAGGAGGAAAGGGGUGGCCGUUCGAUGGUUGUUUUGCCUCGUGAGGUUAAAAUGGGCUUCGCCCGAGACUGAGGGCCCAAUUAACCACAGGCCCCCAAUUUUGCCGUGGGAGUAGCUGCCCAUUCCAGUUGCUGGAAGUGUUUGCCUCAAAAAAAAAUUUGCGGGAAGUGUUGCGCUAGAGUUUCAUCGGACGGCUGAAGACGUCCAAAACUGUAGAUCUGAUGGUCGUGGCGCUGAUGGCCUGAGAAGGCUCGAUUAGUGCGCAGUUUUAAUAUUUCUAAAUGCCUUUGAGACCUUGUAGUUGUGUGCGCCUGCAGGAAGAUGACAACAAAAAAACUUUUUCAUCCAAGACUACACAUGUGUCAUGUGUAACAAACAAGCACCGGGGACAAGAGAUCACUUGUACUCCCUCCGUAAACUAAUAUAAGAGCGUUUAGAAUACUAAAGUAGUGAUCUAAACGCUCUUAUAUUAGUUUACAGAGGGAGUACUUCCUUUGCCCAUUUUGAAAAACACUGUUGGCGGUAUGUUUGCCCUUCGUGGAAUCCUACUGAGACAGGUUCCAGGAUGAAAUCUCCCAACUCAAACAGUUGCUGCACUUGGCUCUUGCCAUGGAGACAAUCAUUCUGAUUUCUUGGGCAAUUUGGUCCACAAGGAACGACUUUAUCUUCAAGCACAUUCCUCCCAACCUUUACGUUUGCAGGCGCAGGUUCAAGGAGGAACUCAAAUGGCUUACUUACAGAGUUAAGAGAAAUGAGCUCUCUGGACUCAUAGAUUGGGUCCAGGCCUUGAGAUAGGUCUUUCGACAGACUUGUUGUAAUGGUUGUAUUUCCUUUUCUUGCCUCAUUUUCCUUUUUUCUUCUUUGAACAUUUUCAUGUACCAUUUAUUUGAAAAUCAGUAAAAAUAUGCAGCAGAGUCCUACUGUUUCCCAAAAAAAAAGUACGCCUAUGAAUGCCCAAGACAGAACAGAACGCAUGGAACAUUUGGUUCGGAUCUAUAUGCAGUAUGGCGUCAGCCACCUGCACGCGGCACGCUCCCCCGUGCCGGCACACCACAGCUAGCAGCCUAGCGGUGCACGCCGUUACCUUUGCCAUCACAAGAUUGUCCUUAUUUCGAGACAUCCACAAAUACAAACGGACCCAAAACUAAAUUGAAUGGUCUUUUCUGAAAAAGAAAAAUGAUCUGUGCUGUGCUGUCGAACAAAAUGGUUGUAGCCCUCAAAAAAACAAAAUGGUUGCGGUCCAGCGCCCUGUCACGUACCAGCUCUCGAUUAGCAUGCAUGCAGCAGCUCGUCGGCGACCGAUCGGCGG